RNAcentral lists this ribosomal RNA (639 nucleotides) under uncultured bacterium. Its description in RNAcentral is "bacterial SSU rRNA". The stretch from base 1 to 528 matches the Rfam family "Bacterial small subunit ribosomal RNA", at positions 338 to 873 of the family's 1533-position model. The record is from RNAcentral.
CCUACGGGAGGCAGCAGUGGGGAAUAUUGGACAAUGGGCGAAAGCCUGAUCUAGCAAUGCCGCGUGAGUGAUGAAGGCCUUAGGGUUGUAAAGCUCUUUUACCAGGGAUGAUAAUGACAGUACCUGGAGAAUAAGCUCCGGCUAACUCCGUGCCAGCAGCCGCGGUAAUACGGAGGGAGCUAGCGUUGUUCGGAAUUACUGGGCGUAAAGCGUGCGUAGGCGGUGAUUCAAGUCAGAGGUGAAAGCCUGGAGCUCAACUCCAGAACGGCCUUUGAAACUAGAUCGCUAGAAUUAUGGAGAGGUAAGUGGAAUUCCGAGUGUAGAGGUGAAAUUCGUAGAUAUUCGGAAGAACACCAGUGGCGAAGGCGACUUACUGGACAUAUAUUGACGCUGAGGUACGAAAGCGUGGGGAGCAAACAGGAUUAGAUACCCUGGUAGUCCACGCCGUAAACGAUGAUAACUAGCUGUUCGGGCUCUCAGAGCUGUAGUGGCGGCGAGACGUAACCGACAUUAAGUUAAGUUACCGUCCGUCGGGGUAGGGUACGGUCGGCGAAGUAAGUUAAAACGUUAACUUAAAUUAGUAAGUUAGUUACGGACGUUGAGACGUGCCGACGGACGACGACGAGGGGAGGUUAGGAG